RNAcentral lists this ribosomal RNA (321 nucleotides) under Candona sp. 65 IK-2020. RNAcentral describes it as "partial large subunit ribosomal RNA". It matches the Rfam family "Archaeal large subunit ribosomal RNA", at positions 2044 to 2597 of the family's 2987-position model. Lineage: Eukaryota; Metazoa; Arthropoda; Ostracoda; Podocopida; Candonidae. The record is from RNAcentral.
AUUUGCCUUUUAAUUGGGGGCUGGGAUGAAAGGUUUUAUGGGGAAUAGCUGUCUUAGAAUGAAUAAAUUGAAUUUAAGUCCUGCAUAAAAACUUGCAGGUGCUCUUAAGGGACGAGAAGACCCUGUGGAUUUUUAUUUGUUAAAAAAUAAAUUUUAUAAUAUUUUAUUUUUUAUUCAAAUUUGGUUGGGAUGACAGUAAAAUUAACUUUAUUGAAAAGAUAUAGUAUAGAUCCUUUUUAAGGAAAAAAGAACAAAUUACCCCAGGGAUAACAGCGUAAUACUUUUGGACAGGACAAAUGGAUAAAAGUGUUUGCGACCUCG